This 460-nucleotide ribosomal RNA is filed under the name uncultured bacterium. RNAcentral's name for it is "partial 16S ribosomal RNA". It matches the Rfam family "Bacterial small subunit ribosomal RNA", at positions 338 to 795 of the family's 1533-position model. The record is from RNAcentral.
CCUACGGGAGGCAGCAGUGAGGAAUAUUGGUCAAUGGACGCAAGUCUGAACCAGCCAUGCCGCGUGCAGGAAGACGGCUCUAUGAGUUGUAACCUGCUUUUGUACGAUGUUAAAUCCCGAUACGUGUAUCGGGUUGAAAGUCUCGUACGAAUAAGGAUCAGCUAACUCCGUGCCAGCAGCCGCUGUAAUACGGAGGAUUCAAGCGUUAUCCGGAUGUAUUGGGUUUAAAGGGUGCGUAGGCGGUUCGAUAAGUUAGAGGUGAAAUCCCGGGGCUCAACUCCGGCACUGCCUCUGAUACUGGCGGGCUAGAGUUUAGUUGCGGUAGGCGGAAUGUAUGGUGUAGCGGUGAAAUGCGUAGAUAUUGCGCAGAACUCCGAUUGCGAAGGCAGCAUACCGGCGGCGAUCUGACGCUGAGGCACGAAAGCGUGGGUAUCGAACAGGAUGAGAUACCCCUGUAGUC